AUUUAUUUCUCUGGAUGUCAGUUUCCCCGAUGGCAAAACAGGCGAACCAGUGCCUAUCUUGGGAAGACAGGAAGAAUGAACAAUCUAAAGUAUCUAGCACCAUGCCUACUUCCUGUGUGAUCAUGUAUUCACUCAACAAACAACCAGUACACAUCUACUGUGUGGAACCGUGAUCAAUGAAUCACAGUUUAGUGAGGAUCCCACUGGGGCCACCCUGGGGCACAGGGUCCGGAGUCCCUGGGACACCCCAGGGUGGAACCAGGAAUGGGGUCGGAGGAGGAAGGUGGAGAUGAACCUCAGAGUCAGUUCUCAGUGGAAUCCCCGUCACCGGAUUGCAGGAAGUGAGGCGAAGGUGUGCCACUCUGCACACAGGAGAGACUGAGGCUAGAGCUAAGAAGGGCCUCCAGAGGAAAAGGCAAGAGCAUGGAGGCCGCAGGCCAGUGGGGAGGAUAAAAUAAGCUGAUGCACGCACAGAGCUUUGCCCAGCAUACGGCCCAUGUGUU
This is a long non-coding RNA of Suricata suricatta (meerkat), 503 nucleotides long. RefSeq lists it as uncharacterized. The transcript has 3 exons. The record is from RefSeq and is a predicted model, not a curated record. NCBI's taxonomy places the organism in Eukaryota, Metazoa, Chordata, Mammalia, Carnivora, Herpestidae.